Molecule: ribosomal RNA, 1128 nt
Filed under: Leuconostoc mesenteroides
Lineage: Bacteria; Bacillati; Bacillota; Bacilli; Lactobacillales; Lactobacillaceae
Description: bacterial SSU rRNA
Rfam family: Bacterial small subunit ribosomal RNA
Source: RNAcentral
GCCGGGCGGGGAUGCUAUACAUGCAGUCGAACGCACAGCGAAAGGUGCUUGCACCUUUCAAGUGAGUGGCGAACGGGUGAGUAACACGUGGACAACCUGCCUCAAGGCUGGGGAUAACAUUUGGAAACAGAUGCUAAUACCGAAUAAAACUUAGUGUCGCAUGACACAAAGUUAAAAGGCGCUUCGGCGUCACCUAGAGAUGGAUCCGCGGUGCAUUAGUUAGUUGGUGGGGUAAAGGCCUACCAAGACAAUGAUGCAUAGCCGAGUUGAGAGACUGAUCGGCCACAUUGGGACUGAGACACGGCCCAAACUCCUACGGGAGGCUGCAGUAGGGAAUCUUCCACAAUGGGCGAAAGCCUGAUGGAGCAACGCCGCGUGUGUGAUGAAGGCUUUCGGGUCGUAAAGCACUGUUGUAUGGGAAGAACAGCUAGAAUAGGAAAUGAUUUUAGUUUGACGGUACCAUACCAGAAAGGGACGGCUAAAUACGUGCCAGCAGCCGCGGUAAUACGUAUGUCCCGAGCGUUAUCCGGAUUUAUUGGGCGUAAAGCGAGCGCAGACGGUUUAUUAAGUCUGAUGUGAAAGCCCGGAGCUCAACUCCGGAAUGGCAUUGGAAACUGGUUAACUUGAGUGCAGUAGAGGUAAGUGGAACUCCAUGUGUAGCGGUGGAAUGCGUAGAUAUAUGGAAGAACACCAGUGGCGAAGGCGGCUUACUGGACUGCAACUGACGUUGAGGCUCGAAAGUGUGGGUAGCAAACAGGAUUAGAUACCCUGGUAGUCCACACCGUAAACGAUGAACACUAGGUGUUAGGAGGUUUCCGCCUCUUAGUGCCGAAGCUAACGCAUUAAGUGUUCCGCCUGGGGAGUACGACCGCAAGGUUGAAACUCAAAGGAAUUGACGGGGACCCGCACAAGCGGUGGAGCAUGUGGUUUAAUUCGAAGCAACGCGAAGAACCUUACCAGGUCUUGACAUCCUUUGAAGCUUUUAGAGAUAGAAGUGUUCUCUUCGGAGACAAAGUGACAGUGGUGCAUGGUCGUCGUCAGCUCGUGUCGUGAGAUGUUGGGUUAAGUCCCGCAACGAGCGCAACCUUAAUUGUUAGUUGCCAGCAUUCAGAUGGGCACCUCUAGCGA